RNAcentral lists this ribosomal RNA (451 nucleotides) under uncultured bacterium. Its description in RNAcentral is "partial 16S ribosomal RNA". It matches the Rfam family "Bacterial small subunit ribosomal RNA", at positions 354 to 796 of the family's 1533-position model. The record is from RNAcentral.
GUGGGGAAUAUUGGACAAUGGGGGGAACCCUGAUCCAGCCAUGCCGCGUGUGUGAAGAAGGCCUUUUGGUUGUAAAGCACUUUAAGCGAGGAGGAGGCUACCGAGAUUAAUACUCUUGGAUAGUGGACGUUACUCGCAGAAUAAGCACCGGCUAACUCUGUGCCAGCAGCCGCGGUAAUACAGAGGGUGCAAGCGUUAAUCGGAUUUACUGGGCGUAAAGCGCGCGUAGGUGGCCAAUUAAGUCAAAUGGGAAAUCCCCGAGCUUAACUUAGGAAUUGCAUUCGAUACUGGUUGGCUAGAGUAUGGGAGAGGAUGGUAGAAUUCCAGGUGUAGCGGUGAAAUGCGUAGAGAUCUGGAGGAAUACCGAUGGCGAAGGCAGCCAUCUGGCCUAAUACUGACACUGAGGUGCGAAAGCAUGGGGAGCAAACAGGAUUAGAUACCCGGGUAGUCC